This 307-nucleotide ribosomal RNA is filed under the name Clostridioides difficile. RNAcentral describes it as "bacterial LSU rRNA". It matches the Rfam family "Bacterial large subunit ribosomal RNA", at positions 2318 to 2624 of the family's 2925-position model. The record is from RNAcentral. Lineage: Bacteria; Bacillati; Bacillota; Clostridia; Peptostreptococcales; Peptostreptococcaceae.
UCUCGCAGUACGGUCGGAAAUCGUACGUAGAGUGUAAAGGCAAAAGGGAGCUUGAUUGCAAGACAUACAGGUCGAGCAAGGAUGAAAAUCGGACUUAGUGAUCCGGUGGUGCUGCGUGGAAGGGCCAUCGCUCAACGGAUAAAAGCUACCCUGGGGAUAACAGGCUUAUCUCCCCCAAGAGUCCACAUCGACGGGGAGGUUUGGCACCUCGAUGUCGGCUCAUCACAUCCUGGGGCUGUAGUAGGUCCCAAGGGUUGGGCUGUUCGCCCAUUAAAGUGGUACGCGAGCUGGGUUCAGAACGUCGUGA